This 297-nucleotide ribosomal RNA is filed under the name uncultured Bacillus sp. RNAcentral's name for it is "partial 16S ribosomal RNA". It matches the Rfam family "Bacterial small subunit ribosomal RNA", at positions 1085 to 1382 of the family's 1533-position model. The record is from RNAcentral. Lineage: Bacteria; Bacillati; Bacillota; Bacilli; Caryophanales; Bacillaceae.
GUCCGCAACGAGCGCAACCCUACGUUUAGUUGCUAACGCGUGAAGGCGAGCACUCUAGACGAACUGCCGUUGACAAAACGGAGGAAGGUGGGGAUGACGUCAAAUCAUCAUGCCCCUUAUGUUCUGGGCUACACACGUGCUACAAUGGCCGGUACAGACGGACGCAAAGCCGCGAGGUGGAGCAAAUCCUAAAAAGCCGGUCUCAGUUCGGAUUGCAGGCUGCAAUUCGCCUGCAUGAAGUCGGAAUCGCUAGUAAUCGCAGGUCAGCAUACUGCGGUGAAUACGUUCCCGGGCCUU